Long non-coding RNA from Amphiprion ocellaris (clown anemonefish), 1626 nucleotides. Lineage: Eukaryota; Metazoa; Chordata; Actinopteri; Pomacentridae. The record is from Ensembl.
AAGAAGUCUUUCUAAACAUGGCGGCUGUGUUGUGGGAGGAUCGCUGUGAACUUUCUAGAGAGUUGGUGAGAGAUAUUUUAGACCUUGCCGAGUGUGUGGAAGCAGGAGCUGCUGACCCCGAGCAUGUAGCGUGUAAAGCAGAGGAAUUUAUUGAAGUUGUUGGAGUUAUUUCCGCACUUUCCGACCAAGAUGUUGACCGUAGAGUGACUGCAAAUUUAGAAGUACUCCGCCGCUUUUCUGGUACCAGGGCGCAACAGGAGCACACACAGGGACCAGGGCGUUUGGCAUACCGAGGGAAGUUCUGGAACAUCACGUUCUUUGUGGAUUACUAGCCUGUCAAAUUGCAGCGAAGCUCCGAGUGUCCAGGGCUUUUCCUUUAGGACCAACUCGGCACGGUACGGCUCGUCUCAUCUUUGUUUGCGAGCGUUUCCAUACGGACUAGUGCCUGGUACCAGGCACUAUUUUCAGCACCUUCUCGACUGAGGUUCCCAGCCAGCUGGGACUAGCCGAUAAUGUGGCGUUAUAGUGCAGGCCACUGAUUGGACAGGGAGUGACGACACCACAGAGCAACUCCUGCACGAAAACAAAACCCAACAUUAAAAACCAACUGUAAACAGCGACGGUGUGCAUUGCCCUUCACACAACUCUCUGUUCUUCAUAAUUUUAAUAUGACAGCCAGACCUGUACCGUGGGUGAAUGAAUAGGUCGAGACUUUUCUGUCUUUGAUGGCGGAGCAAAGAAUACAGAGGGAGCUGGACGGAGAACGUUUAUCAGGAGGUCUCUGGGCGGAUGGCCGUUCACAUAUACAGUAGACUGUAUAUAAAGAGGACAAUGAAGCACUGUAGGGAGAAGCUGAAAAAGCUCAAAAGUGACUAUUGGUCCACAACGGCCGGUGCGGGUCAACCAGGAGGUGUUGGAAGAGGUUUAAUGGACACUAUUUACUGGCACCGCACCGCCAGCAACAGGAGGGAGACUCAGCCGCUGCAUUGUUGGAGACGUUCGAGGACGAAUCCCUUUCCACAUGCGAAGCCUACUCCACCUCCGUCAUGGAGCCCCCAGCUCCCCUGCCUCCUCUCCACCACCAGCAGCGGCUCCUCUGCAGCACCAGCUUCGACACCAGUACCAGCUCGAACGCCGACACUGUCAACAUCAACCUCCAGCACGUCACAGCAACGUCUUAUCACCGGCAAGAGGAAAAGGUGUAACAGAAAAUUGGACCUUCCAAGCAUACUUGUGGAGAUGCAGGCUGAGGAGGAGCGGAACCGUGCCCAGCAUGACGAGAACAUCCAGUUGCUCCUCAAGCGAGGCAAGAGAGAAUGAAGCGGCCUUGCAGCGGGAGUAGAUGGCCCAGAAUGCUGCCUUCAACAUCAACAAAUGAUGUUAAGGGACUUUUGGCUCGCCGUGCUAUGACGACUCCACCCACGAUGAGGCUAUAUGGAAAAACAACUAAACCGAGACGAGCCGAGUCAAAUACAAUAGUGGCGAGCCGCACCGCACCGAGUAGGUACUUGUGGAAUUGCGGCUAUAGAGACACAAAUUAGCCCUUACUCUGUCUGAUGUCUCAUUAAUCAACUAAAACUCCAUUAAAGUACAUUUUGCAUAUUAAACAUUAUGUCCCUUGUCUAU